AACGCUAGCUACAGGCUUAACACAUGCAAGUCGAGGGGAAACGAUAUUGGAAGCUUGCUUCCGAUAGGCGUCGACCGGCGCACGGGUGAGUAACGCGUAUCCAACCUGCCCAUCACUUGGGGAUAACCUUGCGAAAGUAAGACUAAUACCCAAUGACGUCUCUAGAAGACAUCUGAAGGAGAUUAAAGAUUUAUCGGUGAUGGAUGGGGAUGCGUCUGAUUAGCUUGUUGGCGGGGUAACGGCCCACCAAGGCGACGAUCAGUAGGGGUUCUGAGAGGAAGGUCCCCCACAUUGGAACUGAGACACGGUCCAAACUCCUACGGGAGGCAGCAGUGAGGAAUAUUGGUCAAUGGGCGAGAGCCUGAACCAGCCAAGUAGCGUGUAGGAUGACGGCCCUAUGGGUUGUAAACUUCUUUUAUAAGGGAAUAAAGUGAGGGACGUGUCCCUUUUUGUAUGUACCUUAUGAAUAAGGAUCGGCUAACUCCGUGCCAGCAGCCGCGGUAAUACGGAGGAUCCAAGCGUUAUCCGGAUUUAUUGGGUUUAAAGGGAGCGUAGGUUGACAUAUAAGUCAGCUGUGAAAGUUUACGGCUCAACCGUGAAAUUGCAGUUGAUACUGUAUGUCUUGAGUGUACAAGAGGUGGGCGGAAUUCGUGGUGUAGCGGUGAAAUGCUUAGAUAUCACGAAGAACUCCGAUUG
This 696-nucleotide ribosomal RNA is filed under the name uncultured bacterium. Its description in RNAcentral is "bacterial SSU rRNA". It matches the Rfam family "Bacterial small subunit ribosomal RNA", at positions 32 to 715 of the family's 1533-position model. The record is from RNAcentral.